RNAcentral lists this ribosomal RNA (481 nucleotides) under uncultured bacterium. Its description in RNAcentral is "partial 16S ribosomal RNA". It matches the Rfam family "Bacterial small subunit ribosomal RNA", at positions 28 to 507 of the family's 1533-position model. The record is from RNAcentral.
GAUGAACGCUGGCGGCGUGCCUAACACAUGCAAGUCGAACGGAGAUUACGGACGGAAGUUUUCGGAUGGAAGACUGUAAUUCUUAGUGGCGGACGGGUGAGUAACGCGUGGGCAACCUGCCCUAUACAGGGGGAUAGCAGCUGGAAACGGCUGGUAAGACCGCAUAAGUCGGCGAGACCGCAUGGUUUUGCCGGGAAAUGAGCAAUCAGGUAUAGGAUGGGCCCGCGUCCGAUUAGCCAGUUGGCAGGGUAAAAGCCUACCAAAGCAACGAUCGGUAGCCGGGCUGAGAGGUCGGACGGCCACAUUGGGACUGAGACACGGCCCAAACUCCUACGGGAGGCAGCAGUGGGGGAUAUUGCACAAUGGAGGAAACUCUGAUGCAGCGACGCCGCGUGAGUGAAGAAGUAUUUCGGUAUGUAAAGCUCUAUCAGCAGGGAAGAUGAUGACGGUACCUGACUAAGAAGCCCCGGCUAACUACGUG